RNAcentral lists this transfer RNA (484 nucleotides) under Planktothrix sp. 2H9. RNAcentral describes it as "16S-23S ribosomal RNA intergenic spacer". The stretch from base 204 to 276 matches the Rfam family "tRNA". The record is from RNAcentral. Lineage: Bacteria; Bacillati; Cyanobacteriota; Cyanophyceae; Oscillatoriales; Microcoleaceae.
UAGGGAGACCUACUUUUGAGUCGAGUGCCCAAUCCAAAAAUACAGCACCCUCAAAAGUCAUCCCAGGUCGUGCUAGGAAAAAAGAGACUUUCAAACGUAUCUCAAGUUCGGGAAAAGGGCUAUUAGCUCAGGUGGUUAGAGCGCACCCCUGAUAAGGGUGAGGUCCCUGGUUCAAGUCCAGGAUGGCCCACCUAAGAAACUGUGGGGGUAUAGCUCAGUUGGUAGAGCGCUGCCUUUGCAAGGCAGAUGUCAGCGGUUCGAGUCCGCUUACCUCCACUGAAAAUAUUCCUAGAACCCAUCAGCACUACAGCUUUCCGAAAAGAAAGAGUAAAUGCUGGGAAAAGUUCCAGCCAGAACCUUGAAAACUGCAUAGAAGAAUCAAAAGGGAUCAAGAAUGAAACCAGAACCGGGAAUUAGAAACCCGGAAAAGUUCUGGUGUUCAGGAGUUCGGAAACGAACAGAAAUUCUCGAAAAGAGAGAAAGU